UACGAAGGGGGCUAGCGUUGCUCGGAAUCACUGGGCGUAAAGCGCACGUAGGCGGCUUACUAAGUCAGAGGUGAAAUCCUGGAGCUCAACUCCAGAACUGCCUUUGAUACUGGUGAGCUCGAGUCCGGGAGAGGUGAGUGGAACUGCGAGUGUAGAGGUGAAAUUCGUAGAUAUUCGCAAGAACACCAGUGGCGAAGGCGGCGCACUGGCCCGGUACUGACGCGGAGGUGCGAAAGCGUGGGGAGCAAACAGG
This 253-nucleotide ribosomal RNA is filed under the name uncultured bacterium. RNAcentral describes it as "partial 16S ribosomal RNA". It matches the Rfam family "Bacterial small subunit ribosomal RNA", at positions 524 to 776 of the family's 1533-position model. The record is from RNAcentral.